GGAUGAAGCCAGAGGAAACUCUGGUGGAGGUCCGUAGCGAUUCUGACGUGCAAAUCGAUCGUCGGAGCUGUGCAUAGGGGCGAAAGACCUAUCGAACCAUCUAGUAGCUGGUUCCCUCCGAAGUUUCCCUCAGGAUAGCUGGUGCUUGUGAUAAAAKGAGUUUCAUCCGGUAAAGAGAAUGAUUAGGGGUCCUUGGGGAUGAAAUUUCCUCAKCCCAUUCUCAAACUCUAAAUGGGUGAAAUAGCGUGCUUUCUUCACUGAAGCCUCRUUGCCG
This 274-nucleotide ribosomal RNA is filed under the name Eluma caelata. Its description in RNAcentral is "partial large subunit ribosomal RNA". Lineage: Eukaryota; Metazoa; Arthropoda; Malacostraca; Isopoda; Armadillidiidae. The record is from RNAcentral.